UGGCUGCAGUGAGGAAUCUUGCGCAAUGGGGGCAACCCUGACGCAGCAACGCCGCGUGAGUGAGGAAGGUCUUCGGAUCGUAAAGCUCUGUCGGAUGGAAAGAACCGCAUAGAGGUGAAUAGCCUCUAUGUCUGACGGUACCAUCAAAGGAAGCACCGGCUAACUCCGUGCCAGCAGCCGCGGUAAUACGGGGGGUGCAAGCGUUGUUCGGAAUUAUUGGGCGUAAAGAGUGUGUAGGCUGCCGGAUGUGUCAGAUGUGAAAGCCCUGGGCUUAACCCAGGAAGUGCAUUUGAAACUGUCCGGCUUGAGUAGGGGAGAGGGAAGUGGAAUUCCUGGUGUAGAGGUGAAAUUCGUAGAUAUCAGGAGGAACACCGGUGGCGAAGGCGACUUCCUGGCCCUAUACUGACGCUGAGACGCGAGAGCGUGGGUAGCAAACAGGAUUAGAUACCCUUGUAGUC
This 458-nucleotide ribosomal RNA is filed under the name uncultured Syntrophus sp. RNAcentral's name for it is "bacterial SSU rRNA". It matches the Rfam family "Bacterial small subunit ribosomal RNA", at positions 346 to 795 of the family's 1533-position model. The record is from RNAcentral. Lineage: Bacteria; Pseudomonadati; Thermodesulfobacteriota; Syntrophia; Syntrophales; Syntrophaceae.